GUGUACGUAAUUUAAAAAAAAUAUCAAGUUGUGACCUUGAAGAUAGAUCACCUCGCACACC
This 61-nucleotide transfer RNA is filed under the name Crotalus pricei pricei. RNAcentral's name for it is "tRNA-His". The record is from RNAcentral. Lineage: Eukaryota; Metazoa; Chordata; Lepidosauria; Squamata; Viperidae.